GCCUUCGUGGUGUAGUGGUCAGCACGCUCGACGCGUAACCCAGAGGUCCGUGGUUCGAUUCCCGGCGAAGGCG
RNAcentral lists this transfer RNA (73 nucleotides) under Stegodyphus mimosarum. It matches the Rfam family "tRNA". From Rfam's summary of the family: Transfer RNA (tRNA) molecules are approximately 80 nucleotides in length. Their secondary structure includes four short double-helical elements and three loops (D, anti-codon, and T loops). The record is from Rfam by way of RNAcentral. Lineage: Eukaryota; Metazoa; Arthropoda; Arachnida; Araneae; Eresidae.